This 434-nucleotide ribosomal RNA is filed under the name uncultured Lachnospiraceae bacterium. RNAcentral's name for it is "partial 16S ribosomal RNA". It matches the Rfam family "Bacterial small subunit ribosomal RNA", at positions 341 to 792 of the family's 1533-position model. The record is from RNAcentral. Lineage: Bacteria; Bacillati; Bacillota; Clostridia; Lachnospirales; Lachnospiraceae.
ACGGAAGGCAGCAGUGGGGAAUAUUGGACAAUGGAGGCAACUCUGAUCCAGCGACGCCGCGUGAGUGAAGAAGUAUUUCGGUAUGUAAAGCUCUAUCAGCAGGGAAGAAAAUGACGGUACCUGACUAAGAAGCCCCGGCUAACUACGUGCCGGCAGCCGCGGUAAUACGUAGGGGGCAAGCGUUAUCCGGAUUUACUGGGUGUAAAGGGAGCGUAGACGGCAAGGCAAGUCUGAAGUGAAACUCCGGGGCUCAACCCCGGAACUGCUUUGGAAACUGUCUGGCUAGAGUACCGGAGGGGUAAGCGGAAUUCCUAGUGUAGCGGUGAAAUGCGUAGAUAUUAGGAGGAACACCAGUGGCGAAGGCGGCUUACUGGACGGUAACUGACGUUGAGGCUCGAAAGCGUGGGGAGCAAACAGGAUUAGAUACCCUGGUA